GGCGCCCCUUGUUAGC
RNAcentral lists this transfer RNA (16 nucleotides) under Entamoeba moshkovskii. RNAcentral describes it as "partial tRNA-Arg". The record is from RNAcentral. Lineage: Eukaryota; Evosea; Mastigamoebida; Endamoebidae.